UACGGGGGGAGCAAGCGUUCUUCGGAUUUACUGGGCGUAAAGGGCGCGUAGGCGGCGUGGUAAGUCACUUGUGAAAUCUCUGAGCUUAACUCAGAACGGCCAAGUGAUACUGCUGUGCUCGAGUGUGGAAGGGGCAAUCGGAAUUCUUGGUGUAGCGGUGAAAUGCGUAGAUAUCAAGAGGAACACCUGAGGUGAAGACGGGUUGCUGGGCCAACACUGACGCUGAGGCGCGAAAGCCAGGGGAGCAAACGGG
This 253-nucleotide ribosomal RNA is filed under the name uncultured bacterium. RNAcentral describes it as "partial 16S ribosomal RNA". It matches the Rfam family "Bacterial small subunit ribosomal RNA", at positions 524 to 776 of the family's 1533-position model. The record is from RNAcentral.